RNAcentral lists this ribosomal RNA (268 nucleotides) under uncultured bacterium. Its description in RNAcentral is "partial 16S ribosomal RNA". It matches the Rfam family "Bacterial small subunit ribosomal RNA", at positions 335 to 600 of the family's 1533-position model. The record is from RNAcentral.
UAUCCUACGGGGGGCAGCAGUGAGGAAUAUUGGUCAAUGGUCGGGAGACUGAACCAGCCAAGCCGCGUGAGGGAUGAAGGUACAGAGGAUCGUAAACCUCUUUUGUCAGGGAACAAAGGCGGGGACGUGUCCCCGGAUGAGAGUACCCGACUAAGAAGCCCCGGCUAACUACGUGCCAGCAGCCGCGGGAAUACGGAGGGGGCAAGCGUUAUCCGGAUUUACUGGGGGUAAAGGGAGCGUAGGUGGCAGGGCAAGUCAGAGGUGAGAA